GGGGCUGUAGCUCAGUGGUAGAGCACUUGCCUAGCAUGUGUGAGGCCCUGGGUUUGAUCCUCAGCACCA
This is a non-coding RNA of Ictidomys tridecemlineatus (thirteen-lined ground squirrel), 69 nucleotides long. NCBI's taxonomy places the organism in Eukaryota, Metazoa, Chordata, Mammalia, Rodentia, Sciuridae. The record is from Rfam.